Molecule: long non-coding RNA, 997 nt
Organism: Tupaia belangeri chinensis (Chinese tree shrew)
Lineage: Eukaryota; Metazoa; Chordata; Mammalia; Scandentia; Tupaiidae
Exons: 3
Source: RefSeq, a predicted model, not a curated record
CUGUGCUGUUGCCAAGCGACUGCAAGGACCUACUUGAAAGGCGGCCAUCUAGGCCAUUUCCUGAUUAAGCCGCCCGUAGCAGGAAUCAAGGCCUGCUGCUCUGGCAUCGCAUCUAGUCUCAAAUAAUUGUUCCAUGUUCUUGAAAUUAAGCCCUUUCCUUGUGAUAGAAUUACAAUUCCGAGGUAAGUGAAAAACUAACCUCCCGCCCAUCCUUCCAUCUGCCAGGUCCUGUGUACGUUUAAGAGCCCAGGCUGUCACAUGCUGGACUUCAAUUGGGGAGCUGAAGAAUGUCCAAUGACAGCGUCUUUAAUUGUGCUGAGCAAAUCCAGGUCAAACAGAAGUAGGUCACCAAACCGACAAGCCAGUUGACCUUGGAUCACUGCAAACUCAGAAAGGAAACAAAAGAAGCACCACUAUAGUCUUAACUACCAAGCGCCACUGCACGGCCGAGCCUCAGCUUCCUCGUCUGCAGAAAGACAGCAAUCCUUACGCCCACGAGGAGCUCCGGCACAAGGCUCAGCAACAAUCUCCUGGACCAUUUUAACAGCCACUGAAGCCGUUCUGCUGCCACCCUCCUCCAGUCCAGCCCCCACACUGCCACCAGCUGGCUUUCUAAAAUAAAAGUGCUGACCACGUCACUCACCUCCUGAAAGAUGCCCACUAGAUUCGUACUGCCGGUGGGAUAAACCCCAAGUCUUAGCCCGCAGGCAGGCCUGUCUGAAUUCAUUCAUUUUUCUCAUUCAGCCAUCCCAUCUAAUGUCCUCUGAUUACCUACUGUGUGCCAGGCUCUUUUCCUGCCCUGGAGCAGUGACUGUGAUAAACAGCACCAGGACCCUCCUCACGGAUUACGUUCCAGCGGGGUGAGACGAACAAAAAGACAAACAAGGUACAGUCGGAGGUCGGGGAGAGGUGAGUGCCAAGAAAAGCAGCGCAGGGUGAGGGGACAGUGACCGUGGGAAAGGGAGGGACAGAUAGUGCUUUCUUUUCCUUUUUUUUU